Molecule: non-coding RNA, 408 nt
Organism: Salmo salar (Atlantic salmon)
Lineage: Eukaryota; Metazoa; Chordata; Actinopteri; Salmoniformes; Salmonidae
Source: RefSeq, a predicted model, not a curated record
CUUUUGCCAGUUCACGUCAAUGGGCAAUAGACCUGAGCGCGGCUCAGGUUAAUAGAACUCCCUCAUUGUUCUGUCUGAAGUUAGCCGCGCCUACCUACCACAUCAUCUACAUCUGAGCCGGAGUCCUUCCUGAUCUACAUCCACAUCUACAUGAGACUGUGUCUACGCAUUGAAAACUGCAUAGGACUACACAUCCAUCCCAGAACGAAAGCAAUGUUGAGAAGAACGGCUCUCGCUUGGGGCUUCCAAGGAGAAUGAUCCUGAGAUCAGAUGAACCAAGACUCCUGAAGAGCCACCACCAACAAUGGCUGAGCUGCUACAACUUUGAGGAGAAGUCGCCACGCAACACAAGAUGCAGUUAGCACACCUGAGCUUUCCCUAUUGUCAGAUUUCCCGGGAAGUGUGAAA